This 1228-nucleotide ribosomal RNA is filed under the name Vibrio parahaemolyticus. Its description in RNAcentral is "partial 23S ribosomal RNA". It matches the Rfam family "Bacterial large subunit ribosomal RNA", at positions 1 to 1276 of the family's 2925-position model. Lineage: Bacteria; Pseudomonadati; Pseudomonadota; Gammaproteobacteria; Vibrionales; Vibrionaceae. The record is from RNAcentral.
GUUGUAUGGUUAAGUGACUAAGCGUACACGGUGGAUGCCUUGGCAGUCAGAGGCGAUGAAAGACGUAGUAACUUGCGAUAAGCCCAGAUUAGGUAGUAACAACCAUUUGAGUCUGGGAUUUCUGAAUGGGGAAACCCACGUGCAUAAGCACGUAUCCUUACCUGAAUACAUAGGGUAAGGAGGCGAACCGGGGGAACUGAAACAUCUAAGUACCCCGAGGAAAAGAAAUCAACCGAGAUUCCGAAAGUAGCGGCGAGCGAAAUUGGACUAGCCCUUAAGCUUUACACGCGUUAGACGAACGGUCUGGAAAGUCCGACGAUACAGGGUGAUAGUCCCGUAGUUGACGACGUGUGUUCAGUGAAAUCGAGUAGGGCGGGACACGUGAUAUCCUGUCUGAAUAUGGGGGGACCAUCCUCCAAGGCUAAAUACUACUGACUGACCGAUAGUGAACCAGUACCGUGAGGGAAAGGCGAAAAGAACCCCUGUGAGGGGAGUGAAAUAGAACCUGAAACCGUGUACGUACAAGCAGUAGGAGCAGGCUUUGUCCUGUGACUGCGUACCUUUUGUAUAAUGGGUCAGCGACUUAUAUUCAGUGGCAAGGUUAACCAUCUAGGGGAGCCGUAGGGAAACCGAGUCUUAACUGGGCGUUCAGUCUCUGGAUAUAGACCCGAAACCAGGUGAUCUAGCCAUGGGCAGGUUGAAGGUUGAGUAACAUCAACUGGAGGACCGAACCGACUAAUGUUGAAAAAUUAGCGGAUGACUUGUGGCUAGGGGUGAAAGGCCAAUCAAACCUGGAGAUAGCUGGUUCUCCCCGAAAGCUAUUUAGGUAGCGCCUCGGACGAAUACUACUGGGGGUAGAGCACUGUUAAGGCUAGGGGGUCAUCCCGACUUACCAACCCUUUGCAAACUCCGAAUACCAGUAAGUACUAUCCGGGAGACACACGGCGGGUGCUAACGUCCGUCGUGGAGAGGGAAACAACCCAGACCGCCAGCUAAGGUCCCAAAUUACUACUAAGUGGGAAACGAUGUGGGAAGGCUCAGACAGCCAGGAUGUUGGCUUAGAAGCAGCCAUCAUUUAAAGAAAGCGUAAUAGCUCACUGGUCGAGUCGGCCUGCGCGGAAGAUGUAACGGGGCUAAGUAGUAAACCGAAGCUGCGGCAAUGUGCUUUUGCACAUUGGGUAGGGGAGCGUUCUGUAAGCGGUUGAAGGUGUGUGGUAACGCAUGCUGG